ACAAGAAGCAGGGGAUUCAGGUGUUUUCAGCCUCAGCUUUGCCAGCAGAACUACACAAUGACCACAUUCCAAAACAAAAUUAUAGGUGCUUAACAACAACAAACUGAACUUCAAGUCAUAAAAGCAAGCAGUGAAGGUCACUACUGCAGAAAAAAUGCAGAAGAAAGGCAGUUUCCAUUUGAAUGCUAAUUGGUGCCCCCAAAAAGCUGAAGAUAUCUUUAUUCCCUUAGGAUCUCCAUUUCCAUCCUCAGAUACUGAACUGAACUUAUCCGUAACAUACAAGCUUUCUUCAUCUAUGCUUCCUGUGACUGCCCAGUGAAGAGUAAUGUCUCCUUGGAAAUCUGACAGUGAAACUACAACGUGAAGGGUUUUUCAAAGUAUUGGACCAUCCAAACUUCCCAAACCAGAUAGUUUUUUUUCCCUAAUAAAUGAAAUAAAAUUUCAACUGCA
This is a long non-coding RNA of Neofelis nebulosa (Clouded leopard), 450 nucleotides long. RefSeq lists it as uncharacterized. The record is from RefSeq and is a predicted model, not a curated record. The transcript has 2 exons. Lineage: Eukaryota; Metazoa; Chordata; Mammalia; Carnivora; Felidae.